UAGGCCUUGUUCGGCAGGGGUGGGUUUUUGAGUUUCGGAGUGUCUUACCCGGCCCAAUUUGAAUCCACUGGAAAACACCUCUGGACCGUUCGGUAGGCUGGGAUUGGGGUGUUUCAGCCCGAUUGACCCUCCCGAUACACGGCGGGUUACGGCGGGUUGGGGGUUUUCAGAAACGCUUGCCCCCACUCGCGUUUCUACCUCUUGGCGAAGCGAGCGACGGCCCGGACCUCCCCUCGCGGUGGCGGCGCCGACCAACGCUGCCAACGACGCCGGCCGCUCCACCAUAUCACAGCCAGAAAGCCUGGAACUCCUGCACCUCCUUCUUCCCAUCCCGCAACCGGCCGCUCCUUCUUUUCCGGCACCGCCGUUGACGACGCCGCCGAGAUCUCUCCGCCGCCGCCGACGGCCGCAGAGCUGGAUUUCUCAUACUAUAAGAUAAUGGGGUUGCUAUUUUUACAAGAACCUGCAAGAAGGAUUGAGUGAGCUGCAACAGAAGAUUGCCUUAUUCUCAGAAUCAAAUGCUAUGGUAUCUACAAAUGUGCCAAAAAUUGUGAGAUUUUCAUCAAUGUUGCUGCUAGGCAUUCAUUGUACAAGACCUUCCAGUGCUGACUUGAAUUGGCAAACUUGUACUCCCUCCGGUUGGAUAAAAUUGACAACAAGUGUAUGAUUAGGGAGCAGUUUAUGUACUUAUUAUGUCUGCGUCGAUUAAACACGACCAGAGAGAGUAAUUAGUGUUUAUGUGCAAACUACUAGACAUAAUUCUAUACUAAUUGUUUGUACGGAAAUGAAUUUGCCUUUUCAAUGAC
Molecule: long non-coding RNA, 806 nt
Organism: Lolium perenne
Lineage: Eukaryota; Viridiplantae; Streptophyta; Magnoliopsida; Poales; Poaceae
Source: RefSeq, a predicted model, not a curated record